RNAcentral lists this ribosomal RNA (467 nucleotides) under uncultured bacterium. RNAcentral's name for it is "partial 16S ribosomal RNA". It matches the Rfam family "Bacterial small subunit ribosomal RNA", at positions 28 to 507 of the family's 1533-position model. The record is from RNAcentral.
GAUGAACGCUGGCGGCGUGCUUAACACAUGCAAGUCGAACGGAAAGGCCUCUGCUUGCAGGGGUACUCGAGUGGCGAACGGGUGAGUAACACGUGGGUGAUCUGCCCUGCACUUCGGGAUAAGCCUGGGAAACUGGGUCUCAUACCGGAUAGGACAAUGGUUUGGAUGCUGUUGUGGAAAGUUUUUCGGUGUGGGAUGAGCUUGCGGCCUAUAAGCUUGUUGGUGGGGUAAUGGCCUACCAAGGCGUCGACGGGUAGCCGGCCUGAGAGGGUGUACGGCCACAUUGGGACUGAGAUGCGGGGCAGACUCCGACGAGAGGCAGCAGUGGGGGAUAUUGCACAAUGGGCGCGAGGCUGAUGCAGCGACGCCGCGUGGGGGAUGACGGCCUUCGAGUUGUAAACUCCUAUCGCUAGAGACGAAGCGUUUUUGUGACGGUACCUGGAGAAGAAGCACCGGCUAACUACGUG